This is a long non-coding RNA of Helianthus annuus (common sunflower), 762 nucleotides long. RefSeq lists it as uncharacterized. The transcript has 3 exons. The record is from RefSeq and is a predicted model, not a curated record. Lineage: Eukaryota; Viridiplantae; Streptophyta; Magnoliopsida; Asterales; Asteraceae.
UUUAGAUUUGAUGAUGUGCUAAGAGUUUCCAAAUACUUACAUGGGGAAAACACUAUCGUUCAAAUGAGGGUAUAAAAAUGUCAUUGAUGAAGCUAUUCGCCUGAACUCUGUUGGUGAGGAGUUACAUUUGGCUAUUGAGACCAUUGGCCAUGGAGCACUUAAGGAGAAUCAUUGGCUUAAUGCUGGUGCAUAUCUCAAGGUCAACCUAGCGGUAUUAACAUUUUGACCGAUUUGGUAGAUGAAUUGUAGGAAUCGAGUGUUGUUGUUGAGCUUAGAUUACCAAUAGAUCAAAAUCAUUCGGAUCUUAAAGGAGGGUAUGCCAAUUUAGUAUUUUAUAAGUUGCAUAAUAAUUACUACAUAUACCUUAAGAAAUUUUACAAUAUUUAAGUAGUUUGUUUAUAGAUCUUUUUGUGAAUAUGGUGAAGCAGUGUUGAAACAUUUGGAAAAUAAAAGUGAAUCGGAUCCUACACUUCAAAAAACUCGUGUUAACUAUGAAGGGAUUCGGGUUUCCGGCUAUGGUGGUUGGUUUCUUCUGAGACUUUCGCUUCGUAACCCUGUUUUGCCCCUUAACAUUGGGGUAAAUUACAAGUCAUGAAAUCAGUUAUCCACAAUACUAAAAAAUCUAAAUAAACAUAUUAAAUUUUUUAGGCCCCAAGUAACGAGGAUGCGUUAAAACUUGGAUUAACAGGGAUUUCGGUUGCAAAUGAGUUCUCGGCUUUGGAUGUUUCGGCAUUGGUGAAAUUUGUACAACAAUAUUGAAGG